UGUGCCUACGGGAGGCAGCAGUGGGGAAUAUUGGGCAAUGGGCGCAAGCCUGACCCAGCAACGCCGCGUGAAGGACGAAGGUGCCAAGCAUUGUAAACUUCUUUUGUCAAGGGACAAAAUCAGGCUCGAGAGCCUGACCGAGGGUACUUGAAGAAAAAGCAUCGGCUAACUCCGUGCCAGCAGCCGCGGUAAUACGGAGGAUGCGAGCGUUAUCCGGAUUUAUUGGGUUUAAAGGGUGCGUAGGCGGACUGUUAAGUCAGCGGUAAAAGCCCGGGGCUCAACCCCGGCGAGCCGUUGAAACUGGC
This 305-nucleotide ribosomal RNA is filed under the name uncultured bacterium. Its description in RNAcentral is "bacterial SSU rRNA". It matches the Rfam family "Bacterial small subunit ribosomal RNA", at positions 334 to 637 of the family's 1533-position model. The record is from RNAcentral.